UGGUAUUUUUAAUCUUUAUAGGCUCAACAGAUUGCUGAGAAUGCCUACAAUUUUGCCGUUAAUAAUCUUCUCCCGGAUCACCUGUUCUGUUACAUGUACACAUUAUUUAAUGAAUAUGCUAAGUUACAGCAAGGUAAGGUACGUAUACAUGAAGGUAUGACUGAAGUAACUACAGAUGAGAGUCAUUGGGCUAAUUCUUGUCAAUUUUGUUCUAUUAAUAAAAACAAGAAGGUUGAACUGUAAAAUUUUCAAGCUGCUUUUAAAGUGUUAAAUCUACUAGGAACUUGAUGCCAAAUUUCACUUAUAGUCUACCAUUUUAAAAUUAUUUUUGUAUUUAUAAGACAUUAACAAACAUAA
This is a long non-coding RNA of Amphimedon queenslandica, 357 nucleotides long. RefSeq lists it as uncharacterized. The transcript is spliced from 3 exons. The record is from RefSeq and is a predicted model, not a curated record. Lineage: Eukaryota; Metazoa; Porifera; Demospongiae; Haplosclerida; Niphatidae.